UACGUAGGGUGCGAGCGUUGUCCGGAAUUACUGGGCGUAAAGCGUGCGCAGGCGGCUAUUUAAGCUUGCUGUGAAAGCCCCGGGCUUAACCUGGGAACUGCAGUGAGGACUGGAUGGCUGGAGUGUGGCAGAGGGGGGUGGAAUUCCACGUGUAGCAGUGAAAUGCGUAGAGAUGUGGAGGAACACCGAUGGCGAAGGCAGCCCCCUGGGCUAACACUGACGCUCAGGCACGAAAGCGUGGGGAGCAAACAGG
RNAcentral lists this ribosomal RNA (253 nucleotides) under uncultured bacterium. RNAcentral's name for it is "partial 16S ribosomal RNA". It matches the Rfam family "Bacterial small subunit ribosomal RNA", at positions 524 to 776 of the family's 1533-position model. The record is from RNAcentral.